RNAcentral lists this ribosomal RNA (248 nucleotides) under uncultured bacterium. RNAcentral describes it as "partial 16S ribosomal RNA". It matches the Rfam family "Bacterial small subunit ribosomal RNA", at positions 85 to 334 of the family's 1533-position model. The record is from RNAcentral.
AAGAUGGCGACCGGCGCACAGGUGAGUAACACGUAUCCAACCUGCCGAUAACUCCGGAAUAGCCUUUCGAAAGAAAGAUUAAUACCGGAUGGCAUACGAAUAUCGCAUGAUAUUUUUAUUAAAGAAUUUCGGUUAUCGAUGGGGAUGCGUUCCAUUAGUUUGUUGGCGGGGUAACGGCCCACCAAGACUACGAUGGAUAGGGGUUCUGAGAGGAAGGUCCCCCACAUUGGAACUGAAACACGGUCCAA